UACAGAGGGUGCAAGCGUUGUUCGGAAUUAUUGGGCGUAAAGCGCGUGUAGGCGGCUUUGCAAGUCGGGUGUGAAAGCCCUCAGCUUAACUGAGGAAGUGCGCCCGAAACUGCAUUGCUUGAGUACCGGAGAGGAUGGCGGAAUUCCCCAAGUAGAGGUGAAAUUCGUAGAUAUGGAGAGGAACACCGGUGGCGAAGGCGGCCAUCUGGACGGAUACUGACGCUGAGACGCGAAAGCGUGGGUAGCAAACAGG
This 253-nucleotide ribosomal RNA is filed under the name uncultured bacterium. Its description in RNAcentral is "partial 16S ribosomal RNA". It matches the Rfam family "Bacterial small subunit ribosomal RNA", at positions 524 to 776 of the family's 1533-position model. The record is from RNAcentral.